This 79-nucleotide transfer RNA is filed under the name Anguilla anguilla (European eel). Its description in RNAcentral is "tRNA-OTHER". Lineage: Eukaryota; Metazoa; Chordata; Actinopteri; Anguilliformes; Anguillidae. The record is from RNAcentral.
GGCAGUGUGGCACAGUGGGGAAGGAUCUGGGCUUGUGACCGAAAGGUCGCAGGUUCGAUUCCCGGUAAGGACACUGCCG